UACGGGGGGGGCAAGCGUUGUUCGGAAUUACUGGGCGUAAAGCGUGCGCAGGCGGUGAUGUAAGACAGAUGUGAAAUCCCGAGGCUCAACCUCGGGUCUGCAGUCGAUACGGGCGGACUGGAGUUCGGCAGGGGAGACUGGAAUUCCUGGUGUAGCGGUGAAAUGCGCAGAUAUCAGGAGGAACACCGGUGGCGAAGGCGGAUCUCUGGGCCUUACCUGACGCUCAGGUGCGAAAGCUAGGGGAGCGAACAGG
RNAcentral lists this ribosomal RNA (253 nucleotides) under uncultured bacterium. RNAcentral describes it as "partial 16S ribosomal RNA". It matches the Rfam family "Bacterial small subunit ribosomal RNA", at positions 524 to 776 of the family's 1533-position model. The record is from RNAcentral.